CUACCUGAAAACAUGACAUGAAGAGAGUGAGUAUAAAAUACUCAGUAAGGGACCCACUACUAGUCCCACUAGGUGACUGUUAACUUCCUGUCAGAGUCCUGUAACUGGUACCCAAUCUCUGGCACGUUCCCGAACACGUGCAACAUGCGCUCCCGUAGGAACGUAACUCUGGUCUUCGGUGCCCCGGGGGACACCUAGGACAAUCGGGAUGCGAGGACCCCGUCGAGUCACUCGAGUCAUAUCUAUAUCCAUGCUAGACUGGUGUCCCGUCGGACCGCACAGUCCUAAAUAGGUGGUGAUCCCGAAGGACACCCAUGCAGGUGGAAGGAGUCAAAUUAGUCUUGGCGGCUCGGCUGGAAAGAGAACAGGGAUCGGCUCGGCUCGGCUUGGCGCAGGGAUCUUGCGCGUGCGGCUCGGCUUGCGACAGCCAAGAGGCGCGGCUUGCACGCGGAGAGGGCUGGGCACGUGUGGGCACGGACGCGGGUUCGGUUUCGGGUUCGGGCGAGCGGGCGUGGAGCGGUUCCGGGUUCGGGUUCGACGGCUGGAGGCGCACGAGGCGUUGGCUGCUGGACUUCAGUCGGCGCGACGGCGCGACGGCUGGCUGACGGACGUUCCGGUUGCGCUGCGUCGGAUCUAAGCGGCGCGACGUGGCUGGACGUGUGAACGACGGCGUUGCGGACACGGCUGGCUGACGGAUCAGCUGCGGCUCCUCAGCGCUUGAUCGGAGCGACGCGACGCGGCUCGGCUGCUCUCCUUAGAUCGAAGCGGCGCGACGCGGCUCGGCUGCUCUACCUUAGAUCGAAGCGGUGCGACGAGUUCCGGCUGCAGACACGGCGCGACGUGCGUAGCUCUUCCUAGGCGUGCGGUGGCUUGACUCGGUUUGAAAUCUCCGGCGCGGCUGGGCGUGUGGCGUGGGUCGGCGGCUAGGGUUUCAAGAAGGACUUUAAUUGCUCCUCUCUUUUUUUUUUUUGUUUUUCUUAUACACGGGUCCCAAAGCUGCUUUAUAUAAGAAAAUUAUCUUCUUUUUCUUUUUCUAUUUCCUUUAAUUAAUUUGAAAACCAACCACCUCCUAUGUC
This is a long non-coding RNA of Cucumis melo (muskmelon), 1076 nucleotides long. RefSeq lists it as uncharacterized. Lineage: Eukaryota; Viridiplantae; Streptophyta; Magnoliopsida; Cucurbitales; Cucurbitaceae. The record is from RefSeq and is a predicted model, not a curated record. The transcript has 2 exons.